UACGGAGGGUGCAAGCGUUAUCCGGAUUCACUGGGUUUAAAGGGUGCGUAGGCGGGUCUUUAAGUCAGGGGUGAAAUCCUGGAGCUCAACUCCAGAACUGCCUUUGAUACUGAAGAUCUUGAGUUCGGGAGAGGUGAGUGGAACUGCGAGUGUAGAGGUGAAAUUCGUAGAUAUUGGGAAGAACACCAGUGGCGAAGGCGGCUCACUGGCUCGUAUCUGACGCUCAGGCGCGAUAGCGUGGGGAUCAAACAGG
RNAcentral lists this ribosomal RNA (253 nucleotides) under uncultured bacterium. RNAcentral's name for it is "partial 16S ribosomal RNA". It matches the Rfam family "Bacterial small subunit ribosomal RNA", at positions 524 to 776 of the family's 1533-position model. The record is from RNAcentral.